This 466-nucleotide ribosomal RNA is filed under the name uncultured bacterium. Its description in RNAcentral is "partial 16S ribosomal RNA". It matches the Rfam family "Bacterial small subunit ribosomal RNA", at positions 28 to 507 of the family's 1533-position model. The record is from RNAcentral.
GAUGAACGCUGGCGGCGUGCUUAACACAUGCAAGUCGAACGGAAAGGCUCCUGCUUGCAGGGGUACUCGAGUGGCGAACGGGUGAGUAACACAUGGGUGAUCUGCCCUGCACUUCGGGAUAAGCUUGGGAAACUGGGUCUAAUACCGGAUAGGACCGCAUUUUGGAUGGUGUGGUGGAAAGUUUUUUCGGUGUGGGAUGAGCUCGCGGCCUAUCAGCUUGUUGGUGGGGUAAUGGCCUACCAAGGCGUCGACGGGUAGCCGGCCUGAGAGGGUGUACGGCCACAUUGGGACUGAGAUACGGCCCAGACCCCUACGGGAGGCAGCAGUGGGGAAUAUUGCACAAUGGGCGCAAGCCUGAUGCAGCGACGCCGCGUGGGGGAUGACGGCCUUCGGGUUGUAAACUCCUUUCGCUAGGGACGAAGAGUAAUUGACGGUACCUGGAGAAGAAGCACCGGCUAACUACGUG